AUACGGAGGGUGCAAGCGUUACUCGGAAUCACUGGGCGUAAAGGACGCGUAGGCUGUUUAGCAAGUCAGAUGUGAAAUCCAAUGGCUCAACCAUUGAACUGCAUUUGAAACUGCUAGACUAGAGUAUGGGAGGGGCAGAUGGAAUUAGUGGUGUAGGGGUAAAAUCCGUAGAUAUCACUAGGAAUACCUAAAGCGAAGGCGAUCUGCUGGAACAUUACUGACGCUAAGGCGUGAAAGCGUGGGGAGC
Molecule: ribosomal RNA, 247 nt
Filed under: uncultured bacterium
Lineage: Bacteria
Description: partial 16S ribosomal RNA
Rfam family: Bacterial small subunit ribosomal RNA
Source: RNAcentral